GGAAGCCCGCCAAAAUAAUCCAUUUGGAAGGCACGGAGGGCUUCACUAGAAAUUGCCUUCCUGUAGCUAUGAGACAUUGAGCAAAACAGAUAAGAACUGGGGCAAUGGAGGCAUAAACAUUAAGGCUAGGAUGUAUUUUUGGGGAGAAAGCGGAGGCUAGCAGGGAGGAAGCUCAACUUUAUGCACCGCGCCCGGGAAUGCUUUGCCUUUAACCACUAGCUGAGCCGCCCGGCUGAGGGAGCCCUCCGGCAAUGAGCGCACGCAACCGUGAAGUCAGAUUCCUCCGCCGACCGCGGCCCUCUCUCCUCGGGCUUUGCCUUCGCUCUCCAGCUUUUCUUCUUUCACUCCCGCUCGCCGACUCCAGUCCGCUGGGCUCACGCUCUGCCGGACACCAAUCCCGGCUGCCCUGCCCGACGGAGCUCAAGGCUAGGCCUGGCCUUGUCCGCGGAGUCCGCCCCUCGCCGCCACCGGGAUCCGCCCCCGCGCCGACACGCACUUCCGGCAGCGCCGCGGCCGGGAGGGACCGAGCGGGGAGCAAGGCCUGCGGUGAGGCGCAGGAUGGACGCGUUGGCUGUCAUGAUGUAGGAUCUCCUGACCUAGAACCAUGCCCGGCGCAGGGAGAACAACGAGCUUAUGGACCGGGUGCGGGGGCUGCUGUGCGAGAAAGCCUACCUGCUGGCCCGGGAGCGUUCGCUGGCCCACCUGGUGGCUUUCCCUAGACGUUUAACGGCGACUCCGCCCGGCCUCCCGACUUUUUGAUGCAGGCGUUCUCUUACAUGACUUUCUUCGAGGCUAGAUUCUCGAAAGACAUCCUGAAGGUGGCUUUCUUAAUUAGCUGCCUCACCGAGUGGCGGAGCAGUUCGUAGUCCCCUACAUCGAGAGGGAGAGCCCCGUCCUGGCUCAGUACUAGGGCUUCGUGGACGCGCUGUAGCGGGCCUUGGCCGUUGUGGGUAGGAAACAGUCGGGCCGGAUCCCCGGUGUCUGGGGAGCGGCUGCGGCCCGGGCCCGCGCGAGCCACUUCGCUCCUACAAGCCCGGCUCACUAGUUCCAAGCUGCUGGACUUUGACCCUCGCUGGGAAGCUUGAUCGCCGCCUGUUCUCGCCAAUCUCUGCCUUUGCACUGCCCAGCAACCCGGUCACUGCCCAGGACCUGUUAAAAGUUGAAUGGACCUCCCAGAAUCACGCCGCUGCCACCGCCGUUUCUAGAGACGGCUUUUGGCCACCUUUGAGAAUCAGGGUCAAACUUGGAAGGGCCUGCAUUUGUCACACCUCCUCGGACACUAAUUUGGAUAGUUCAGGCCCAGAGACAGCUUCCCGGGUUAGUGUGCCUGACAACACUGAAGAAAAAUUGUGACAUUUUCCUUCCCCAAAAUUACUUCGUUUUAUACAUUUCACUUCUCUUCUGAAAUUACAGCAAUGUCAGUUUGCGCCUUUUGGUCUGAGGAACGCAGGCCCUGGCCACUACCAGGAAAAAAACCUUCUGGAUUUCAGCUUUGGCAAGCUUCCUCUGUUUCUGAGCCACCUCCAUCACCUGGGGUACAAUCCCAUCCAUGAUUUUCC
RNAcentral lists this long non-coding RNA (1559 nucleotides) under Pan troglodytes (chimpanzee). RNAcentral describes it as "long non-coding RNA NONPTRT007686". Lineage: Eukaryota; Metazoa; Chordata; Mammalia; Primates; Hominidae. The record is from RNAcentral.